GAUGAACGCUAGCGGAACGCCUAACACAUGCAAGUCGAACGAGUUUUGUUUUGUAGCAAUACAGGAUUAAAUUAGUGGCAAACGAGCGAGUAACGCGUACUUAAUCUGCCCAAAAGUUGAGAACAACUAUAGAGAUGUAGCUAAUUCUCAAUAUGCUCACGAUGGUGAAAUCCCAAUGUGAGGAAAGAUUUAUCGCUUUUGGAGGAGGGUGCGUCCUAUCAUGGUAGUUGGUAAGGUAAUGGCUUACCAAGCCUUUGACGGGUAGCCGGUCUGAGAUGAUGUCCGGCCGCGAUGGAACUGAGAUACGGUCCAUACUCCUACGGGAGGCAGCAGUGGGGAAUCUUGCACAAUGGGCGAAAGCCUGAUGCAGCGAUUCCGCGUGGAGGAUGACGCAUUACGGUGUGUAAACUCCUUUUUUGGUGGAAGACGAAUGACGUACACCAAGAAUAAGGACGGCUAACUAC
This 464-nucleotide ribosomal RNA is filed under the name uncultured freshwater bacterium LCK-15. RNAcentral's name for it is "bacterial SSU rRNA". It matches the Rfam family "Bacterial small subunit ribosomal RNA", at positions 28 to 504 of the family's 1533-position model. The record is from RNAcentral.